GGGGUUGUAGCUCAGUGGUAGAGCACUUGCCUAGCACAUGUGAGGCACUGGGUUCGAUUCUCAGCACCA
Molecule: transfer RNA, 69 nt
Filed under: Ictidomys tridecemlineatus (thirteen-lined ground squirrel)
Lineage: Eukaryota; Metazoa; Chordata; Mammalia; Rodentia; Sciuridae
Also listed under: 1 other name
Description: Spermophilus tridecemlineatus (thirteen-lined ground squirrel) tRNA
Rfam family: tRNA
About the family: Transfer RNA (tRNA) molecules are approximately 80 nucleotides in length. Their secondary structure includes four short double-helical elements and three loops (D, anti-codon, and T loops). Further hydrogen bonds mediate the characteristic L-shaped molecular structure. tRNAs have two regions of fundamental functional importance: the anti-codon, which is responsible for specific mRNA codon recognition, and the 3' end, to which the tRNAs corresponding amino acid is attached (by aminoacyl-tRNA synthetases). tRNAs cope with the degeneracy of the genetic code in two manners: having more than one tRNA (with a specific anti-codon) for a particular amino acid; and 'wobble' base-pairing, i.e. permitting non-standard base-pairing at the 3rd anti-codon position.
Source: Rfam by way of RNAcentral